GACGAACGCUGGCGGCGUACCUAAUACAUGCAAGUCGAACGCAUGUUCUUUCAUCGUAGCUUGCUACACCGACAGAAGGGGGGUGGCGAACGGGGGAGUAACCCGUUGGUAACGUGUCCCUCAGCGGGGGGUAACACAUUGCCACAGGCGCUAAUACCGCAUAAUUCCAUUUACCUCAUGGUAGAUGGAUGAAAGUCGCUUUUGCGUCACUUAUGGAGGGACUCGCGGUGGAUUAGCUAGUUGGUGGGGUAACGGCCUUCCAAGGCUGAGAUGCAUAUCCGAGCUGGGAGGGUGAAUCGCCAAACUGGGACUGAGGCAAGGGCCAGACUCCCUAGGGAGGCAGCAGUAGGGAAUCUUCGGCAAAGGACGCAAGGCUGACCGAGGAACGCCGCGGGAGGGAAGGAGGGUCUCGGAUUGUAAAACUCUGUUGUUAGGGAAGAACAAGGAUGAGGGUGGAAAGUUCAUCUCUUGACGGUAUCUAACCAGAAAGCCACGGCUAACUACGUG
Molecule: ribosomal RNA, 507 nt
Filed under: uncultured bacterium
Lineage: Bacteria
Description: partial 16S ribosomal RNA
Rfam family: Bacterial small subunit ribosomal RNA
Source: RNAcentral